UCUCGCUUACAACCACUUACAAGUGUUC
RNAcentral lists this small RNA (28 nucleotides) under Bombyx mori (domestic silkworm). Its description in RNAcentral is "ovarian small RNA-29752". The record is from RNAcentral. Lineage: Eukaryota; Metazoa; Arthropoda; Insecta; Lepidoptera; Bombycidae.